RNAcentral lists this transfer RNA (66 nucleotides) under Eupelmus sp. ZJUH_2016012. RNAcentral describes it as "tRNA-Glu". Lineage: Eukaryota; Metazoa; Arthropoda; Insecta; Hymenoptera; Eupelmidae. The record is from RNAcentral.
AUUUAUAUAGUUUAAAUAAAACAUUAUAUUUUCAUUAUAAAAAUAAUUUAAAUUAAUUUAUAAAUU